AUAAUAAAUAAAAACUUAUUUAUUUAUUUAUUUUUUAGAGAGAAAGGUAGCAUGCUACCUAUUUCGUUUAUUUUUUUAGAAAUAAAUUUAGCUGAAAAUAUGAAUCAAUUAAAAUUCGAACUUAAAAUCUCGGAUAUCAACCACUAAGCUCUUUACCACUUACACUAGAAAGUCAAUUAUUUAAAAAAAAAAGAAAAAAGUUUAAAUACCCCGGUUUCGCAGUUUCUCACUUUAAUAUCCUAUGGUUUAAAGUGUAUCAAGUUAGUACCCUAUGGUUUCGCACUUUCUCACUUUAGUACCCUAUAGUUUAAAGUGCAUCAAGUUAGUACGCUGUGGUUUCGCACUUUCUCACUUUAGUACCCUAUGGUUUAAAGUGUAUCAAGUUAGUAUUCUGUAGUUUUAUUUUUAUAUCAAGUUAAUACCCUGUGGUUUUAUUUUUCUCUUUUUAUUAUCUAUUUUGGCGUAUUUUUUUCGUUAAAUUAGUGAUAAAGUUAAAACUAAAGGGUACUCAAAUGAAUAUUCGAUAAACCUAGGUAGGGUAUCUGAAGUUUUUUGUAUAUAAUUUAACGAAAUAUUAAACCACAAGGUACUAAAAUGAGAAAGUGCGAAACCACAGGGCAGUAACUUGAGACACUUUAAACUAUAGGGUACUAAAGUGAGAAAGUGCGAAAUCAUAGAAUACUAACUUGAUACACUUUAAACCACAGAAUAUUAAAGUGAGAAAGUGCGAAACCACAUGAGAAUAUUUGAAGUUUUUCCUUUUGUUUAGUUAGCUCUAAUUCGUAUCAUUAGUAUUUAGAGUUCAAAAGUCACUUAUUAGACGCUUGAUUCUCCCAUUAUACAUAGAAAACUACAAAGUAAUGAUACAAAAACGACUCAGCCCACUAGUACUGCUACAAAUAUGUGAAUUUCAUUACAGGUGAAGCGAGGUGUCCACGUCCAAUUCACCGUACUCCUUCGUGUUCUCGCGAUUCUUAUUGUUACAACUUGUAUCGAGCCCGGGAGGCGAAGCGCGAGUUAGCUCGGCGUGGAAGAGCCACACGGCGGGGGGUUGGCGUUGCUCGUCGCGACGAGAAAGAAUGUUGAAGCAGCCACCACUCCUGCUCUUCUCCCUCAUCUCCUUCACCUUCUGCAGCUGCUUAAACCUCUCCUGCAGGAGCGCAAUUGAGGAGCAAUACUGCAGGAGAGUGUUGGCCUCAUCAUCAUUGUUGUUGUUGUUGUUGUUGUUGUUGUUGUUAGUUUCUCUCUCCAUGUUUAUUUCCUGUUUUCGAAGGAUGGUGUGGUGUACUUAUAGGGGGGGGGGGAAGGGAAAUAUUGUCUUUUAUGAGCGGAUUUUAUGUGUUUCUGUGCCUCCUUGUUGUUUUAUUCUGGUGAUAUGACAGAAAGAGAGUUACUUGCUGCAUGCACAUGGUGUACCAGCACAUAUUCAUUCCAUGAGAAAAAAAAAAAAAAAAAAAAGUUCACCCUGCGACUAAGAACAGAUGAGAGUAGAUUUUGAAUAAUAAGAUAGUGGGUUAUAUGUAUUGUUUUGAAAUCAGCAUUUGCCUGAUAUUGUCUAUGAUAUCUUCUGAAUGACCUAUGUCUAACCGUUCCAAAACUCAAUGGUAACAGAAAUGAAAUUGGUCGAUUUAGCCGUAGGAUGCGGUGCGCGGUGGACUGGGUGCAUGCAAUAAUUUCUAAAGGAGGAGGGAGGGGAAUCACGGAGGGCAUUGCUAAAUCCAAGGGGUAAAGGGCUUUGGAGCUAUUGCAAAAGAGUUGGAUUAGUGGAGGAGAGGAAGGAGAAAAGCCACUUUUAAAAGGACGAGAGGGGUGGGAGAGUAGUACAAGAGAGGGUGGAGUUUAGUGCUUGGAUUGAGCUUGUAGGAGAAUAUAAGGUUGUGUAAUUUGUGAUGAGUUUUGUCACCUAUUUCUUAGCAUUAAUUGACAUGAUGGAGCUUCUUGGUGGAUCAAAUAUUUUACCUGGACCAAGUGUAUCCAUCAAUAUUCUACUUCCACUUUUAGCCCAUGUUUGGCCUGUUACAAGUAGUUUAUUUAUGGCUCAUAUUUGUUUAUAUCAAACGGUAUUUAAUUCACAGUCAAAUUUGAUACUCUCCUACUAUUUGUUUGUUCAAAAGUUUUUCACUACAUUGUCAGUUUGCUAAUCAUAAAUAAGACAUAAACAGUAGAUAUUCAAUACAUCAUAGAACUCAUUUGUAAUAGAUAUAUAUAUUUUUUACUGAUUUGGGAUGUAAGUAAAUCGAAUUAGUUUACGAUAUUCGAUUAUAACAUACUUUUUCUAUUCUUCUGUUAACGUCAAACCAAAUGAACUAAUUAAGUAAUAUUUAUAACUAAAUUAGCUUACAACAGUAAUACUAUUUUUGUACAAAGAUGACGGAUAUGUUAGGAGUGUUAAAUAUGAUGGAUGGAGAGUUACUAUACCAGUGGUGCACGGACGUACAGAUGAACUUGGUGCAGGUUAUAUAAUACUUUUGGUGAGCUGUGGAGUAGCUGCUUCUUUGCUUAAUUCUCUUUUGGAAGAUCUUUGAGACUUUGAUAAGGUUGGAUGGUGAACAAUUCCAACACUGAAUUUAAUGAAGAUUAGGUUAAAAGGUAGCUUGUUUUAACUACCAUGCAUCAGGUACUUGCUCUUCCUAGGGUUUUCUUUUAUUGGGGCCUCUUUGCACUUCAAAAAUAGAAUUUUAGAGUAACGCUAUAUUUACAAACAAAAUUUAAAACAUUUUAUAAAUUAGCGUAUAUAGCGGUAUUUAAUUAAUGGAGAAGUACAAAUUACGAAAAGGUAAGUAUUACCUAUAAUUUUAUGGUUGAAAUUUAUUCAUCGGGUUGUACUGCUUGUAAAAUAUUUUUGAGAAUUUUAUUUUGUAAUUACAACUGUUCGAGUUUGCUUUUAGUCUUUUUGUAAAGUCUCAAAAAUAAUGGUUCUAUAAAUGAAAGAGAAAUAUGUACAGAGACCCUCUCAACUAUGUGCUAUUUUCAGAUGGCCCCUUGACUUUAUUCAUUUAUUUUUGUUAAUAUACCCUAUUAAGUUGUGAAUUUUGUUUUUUGAACUGAGUGAUUUUAGUCAAAUAAUAUUAAAGCUUUAUCUUGUUUAUCAGUAUUUUUUUACAAAAUUAGUAGUCUUAAUUACCUUUUAGUAAAUGAAAUUGAAACAAUUAAUGGUUUGUAGCUAUCAGAGCCACUAAACUCAAAUUCAAAAAAAAAAAUAAAAUAUUGAAGGGGUCGGUAAGAAAAGUGGAGUUGAGCAGCAUAUCUCUAUUGUUGAGGGGGUCUCAGUACAUAUUAACCAUCUCAAAGUAAUUUUUUUAUUUUGUAAAUUAUUUGUUAUACAUCUAAUGAUUUUCCUUUUCGAAUCUAAACAUGGGGUGAUUAGAUUAGAAUAUAGAGUAAUUAGAUUGGAUGUUUGAUUAAGUUAAUUAUAAUUGGUUUUAAGGCAAAUUGCACAGUUUGUCCUCAAAGUAUGGGUCAAGUGACACUUCGGUCCCAAACUUUUAAUUUGUUACAAUUUUUAGCUUGAACUUUCAGAAAUAUUGUAAUCAGUAAUUUAAUUGACUAAUAUUGAUGUUAAUAUAUUGCUACGGUAAUAGUGAUGUACUAGUAUUAUGAUUGAUAAUGCAUUAAUAAUUAAAAUACUACAUUACUUCUAUAUUAGCAUGUAUCAAUAUUUAGCCAGGUAAAUUGUAUUGUGGGACUAUUGUAAUAAUUCUAAAUGUUUGCGUCAAAAAUAAGACAAAUUAAAGUCUGAGGGCAAAAAUGUCACAAGCGUCAUAGUUUG
Molecule: long non-coding RNA, 3769 nt
Filed under: Ananas comosus (pineapple)
Lineage: Eukaryota; Viridiplantae; Streptophyta; Magnoliopsida; Poales; Bromeliaceae
Description: long non-coding RNA (ACOM_LNC000307)
Source: RNAcentral